Molecule: non-coding RNA, 923 nt
Organism: Pogona vitticeps (central bearded dragon)
Lineage: Eukaryota; Metazoa; Chordata; Lepidosauria; Squamata; Agamidae
Source: RefSeq, a predicted model, not a curated record
GCGGGUCCUCUGAAUGGCAUCACCGCCACCCUCUGCGGGGUGUGUGUGUGUAUCUGUGGAUAUACUUGGUCCUGCCAUCUCAGGGAAUCCCAAAAUGGCAGGAGAGCCACCCCCAGCGAUGGGCACAUGGGAAGAAAACCACUCAGCACGUCGUGGCCUCCAGUUUACGCCAGCCAACAUGAAAAGACCGUGCAGAAUUUCUGGACUGGGUGGGAAGAGCCAGCCAGAUGGCCAGAGGGCAGCUGAUCUGAACACAAGAAUGGGUGAUCCCUUUACGGUGGCCUGAUGUGCCAUCAAGUGAGAACUGAGUUAUAGUGAAACCAAAUAGGGCUUUGGAGGGAAGGAAGGUGACCUUCCGUAGCUGAGUAUGGAUUUGAACCCAGGCCUCCUGGGUCUGCGAUGGACCCAAUCCAUCACUCUAUACCAAGCCUCCCAAUACCUUUCUUGUUCUUGCUGUUAUGUGUCAUUAUUAAUGUUUUGUAGUUCUUCUCUAGUCAUGAUACCUUUAUUAGACCACUACAAAAAUAAUAAACGGAUCCUAGCUCUCAAUUUCAACCCGUCAAGCUCAGAGCCACGAGGCUAGGGAGGGUGCGGGAAAGAAGCACGAAAGCUCCAGAAACCCUGCCUUGAUGUCCAUGCCAGUCCUCUUCGUUAAAACACCUCCGAUCCACACAGGAAGGCCGCCGUUUGAUCUCCUGUUGAUCGCCUUAUGUGCCAGCUGUGGGAGGGGAUGCUACCAGGCAAGAUGAACACUCUCACCGGUGCCCUUCCUUUCCCAUCCGUGCUCUCCCUCGGCUGAAAAGUGGGUCGCCUCUACAAAGCUUCCAGACUCUGCCGCUUCGUGAGAUCACGGUUAUGUUAACAAAAUAUACAUAUGCUGUACUAUCAACAAAAAAGAAGGGCAGGGGGAAAUAAACACACAC